GAUAUACCCAAAUGAAUAGUUUCUCUGGAAACAAAGCUCUGUCGAAUAAAACUACCCAGGUCUUGGAGAAGGACAGAAAGUGUUUUGCUCUCCCCGUCUUUGGCAGAGAUGGCUGAGGAUGCGGGAAGGGUGGGACCACGGCAGGAAGCCCUCUAGCCUGAGUCUUCUCCCUGGUCUUGAAGAGAAGAAUGGGGUGUCAGCGGUGGGCUCUCGUGGGGGCUGUUGACCACUCUGAUGCUAUGGGCUGGACUAGAAGAAUGACUCCACAUUCACCUCCCAGCUUGUGCUUUCAUUGCGUGCAGGAGAGGACAUAAGCUGGCAUUUACAUCCUCGGAUGAGUCAUCAGAUUACGAAAGAUCUUCCAAGCAGCUGCUCAUGUGAAGUCACAGUCACAAAGAAUUGGAUUAGAGUCGAUUGUAUGGUUUCAGGAUGAGAAAACAACUUGCUGGUUUAAUUCAAUUUCUCCCCCUUCCCCUCGUUUAUCAUUAAGUUUUAUCACAAGUCCCUCAAAAUGGGGGUAGGACCACAUUUAAUCUUUCAGCUGAGCAUUUCUUUACAAUUCCUUCAAGCCUUAACAAUUUCCCAUUAUGUCAUUCAUACCAAGAUAAAUGAAGGCGGAUAACAAGCCAACUGGGUCUGAGGCGUCCAGGAGGUGACAGGGGUGGGAAGAGAGAUGGAAACGAAUAAUGUUGAACGCAAAGACUAACCUAUGGGCCUUGUCUCAGAUUUAACAACCAGUCACUAUGAUUUACAAUCCAAGAUCUCAUUCUUUGCAUCUUAUAUCCCCGAGACAUGAAGAAUGGAAGGAAUGAAAGUGUCACCUAUUUCUUACACGGAUGACUUAUAGGUUUUUAAGGAGGUUCUCUUGGACAUCAGAGCAAGUUGCCCUUGACGGAUGACUUUGCUACUGUAUUUGAUUUCAAGUUCCCACCAAGGAGUGCCAAACAAAAUCUGUUACGUUUUAAAUCGUCAUGUAAUUUCUGCCCCCUUCCCUCUGCUCCACCACAUGUCCAACCAACAAAUAAAUCAUGCCAAAGUCUUAACCACAUGCUUUAAAAUGAAACAAGCACAAGGGACAUUUUUCAAGCUCACAUCUGGAACCAUUGUUUGGGAAGAAGUCUACCAGGUAGUGUUCUAUUUUUUUUUUUUUGACAAAUCAUGGUGUCCAAUCCACUUGGGAGAGCCUUCGAGGGUGAUUUGAAGCAUCUGUAGAGCUGCCUUUGCCUCUGAUACAGACAAAUGAGCUGUGCUGACACAAAGGCCUUUAAAACUGUCUAGUCACCCAUUGAGUCAAUUGAAUCAUCAAGUUGGAUGCUGCCUGCAUCAAAUGAUCUGGGCCCAGAUGAUGCAGCUGCAGAACUAGCCUCUCAAACCGAAGUGAUGGACGAUGAAAAGAGAAAAAGUAAAGGCAAAAUUCUGCAUGUCAGGCUUAGUUCUUUCCCUCUUGAAGUUUUGUAUUAGUGUCUGAAAGUCACAGAAGAUAGCUAAUUAAGAAGUUAGCUUUCCCUCUUUCUUACUUUCCUCCCUCCUUGCCCUUCCUCAGUUUUCUCUCUCCCUUUCCUUUCCUC
Bos taurus (domestic cattle) is the source of this 1568-nucleotide long non-coding RNA. Lineage: Eukaryota; Metazoa; Chordata; Mammalia; Artiodactyla; Bovidae. The record is from Ensembl.